AAAGAUUAAAGCUGAGAUUUUGGUGAAUGCUGAUGUUGAUUCUGUAUGGAAUGCUCUUACUGAUUAUGAAAGGCUUGCUGAUUUCGUCCCGAAUCUUGUUAGCAGUAGGAGAAUCCCUUGUCCACGUCCUGGGCGUAUUUGGUUGGAGCAAAGAGGUAUCCAACGAUCUCUCUAUUGGCACAUAGAAGCUCGCGUUGUAUUG
Molecule: unclassified non-coding RNA, 202 nt
Filed under: Hevea brasiliensis (rubber tree)
Lineage: Eukaryota; Viridiplantae; Streptophyta; Magnoliopsida; Malpighiales; Euphorbiaceae
Source: RNAcentral